Molecule: long non-coding RNA, 2703 nt
Filed under: Bemisia tabaci
Lineage: Eukaryota; Metazoa; Arthropoda; Insecta; Hemiptera; Aleyrodidae
Description: lncRNA ENSASIAIIG008160
Source: RNAcentral
AACAUGAAAAUAACAAUUGUGUUAUCAACCGCAUGAGGUUCAGGGCCAGCAGUAUAAGUUUCAUAGCCGGCUUUAUGAGCAUAGCCCGGCUAUGAAACUUAUACAGCCGGCAGUAAAGCCCAUAUGUAUAGCUAGCUAUGUAACUUACUAGCUGUUCCGGGCUCGCUAGCGAGCCCGGAACAGUAAGCCAAUGAGCUAGCGCCCCCUGGACCCCCAGUUCCUCGCUUCGCAAAGAGAGGGUCGACACGCGAUCGCUUGUCGACAAUGUAAGUGGAGAUAUAAGUAAAUUAUUGGCUACAAACCGUGACCUGAGGAAAUUUAGAUAAUAAAUCGAAAAACAGAAAUGACAUCAAUUGCUUAAAGAAAAGUGAAAGUCAACAUAAGUUGACUAAAAAAACCCAGCACACACAAACUCAUCAGACGAGGACAUGCUGAUUAUUGUGCGUCAUUAUUAGCACGAAAUUCAUUUUCCAUUUCAUUUCAAUUGGAUUGCCACCAGCACAUUAGCAGAAAAGGAAACAACCGUGGGAUCAUCGACCCCGAUGAAAAAAUAUGGCUAUGAGCGAAUCCACGAAGAGUUCCGGUUAUUUUCUUUAGUAUUUUUACAUUUUGACCACCACAAAACCAUAUUUACACAUAUUUUAUGAGAACUACUACCGUCAUUAAAAAUUAGCUAAAUGUUGCCCGAUUUCAAUGGGGAGUAGAGCUCCUUCCUGCUUGAUUAAGGGGCGCUCUUGACCACUCUACGACCCAAAAAGGACACGAAAAUCGCGGCGCAUUUUUUUAGUUUUUGAGGAUGGGAGGAAUGGGAGGGGCGUAAUUGGCGACUGUUGACUUUUAUCACCCGCCGCACUCGUUGCCAACCUCACUAUAUUCCAAUGAGUUUUGUUGCAAAUAGUCCACGGUUGGCCGUAAAAAUAUGUAAACACGUUGUAAUGAUAAAUUUAAGUUUUCGUGCAGUAUGCAACCAAAAGUGUCUUUUAAGUCAUUUUCGAACACAUGAAUACACCACACAAAGUGAGCUGCACAUGGAUGUGGUCAAGGAAUGUCUACCUUACUAUAGUGGAUGGAGCAGGAUAGUCAAUUUAAAAUCGAACAGGAUCAACUAUCACCUCCCGCCCACCAUCUUCAUCUACAACAAGAGCCACAUAGAAACAACAAAACUUCAAAGUUGAUAAAAUUAAGAUUUCCAAAGAUUGGCGCAGACCGGCAGACGUAGAAUUUCGAAUUCGUCGAAUUUUGGCGCAGACGUCGAACUUUCUUCCCCGGGUCCAAUUAUCAUGCCGAUUGAUCGACUGAGAUCGUUUUUUUCUAUUUUCAUGAGAUCCUCAUUUAUAGGGACGGGUUUACGUGUUUCCCACCAACAUGCCGACUGCAGAAAAGGUAUAAGAGAUCUCUUCGUUUUUAUAGUGAUAGUCUAUGUUAAAGCUUGGUUUCAAGCACAUUUGCCCAUAAUUAUUCUUUUAUAUUUGUCACCAGCACCAGGACGCCAAGGCACAUCGCAUCAUGCGCUACAUCGCUGUCACCAAGACUCCUAGCGUCUGUUGGUGACCACCUAAUAAUCACGCGACAUCAUGAUUUGCAGAUCAUGAGAACUCUUCUGGAGUACGAAUAGGUUGACUUUGACAUGGCAAGAGCAGCGCAGCUCAAGUUCAUAAAUCAUCUAUGGUACCUAACCCCUGAGUGCGCUGCUUUAUCAUUUUUCGACGAUAAAGUUUCAUAUGAAAUUCAACUCAAAAUGGUAGAUGCUUUAUCACGAUAAGGCACUUUUGACGAUGUAAAGAGAGUCGUACUCACAAAUUUUAGUGAGAUUGAAAAUAGGGAAGUUUUUGAUUUUGUAUCUAAGGGGACUAACAAUUCUUUUAAAAGGUUAGCGCUUCCUAAAAGUUUUCUUAGAGUGCAUCCAAAAACCUGGUCCAAAAUUAAGAUUUAUCAAAAAAGUCUUGAAGUAGUCAAGAAAAUUAAAUGUGUCAACAAUGUUGCCGAACGAGCUAUUACACUCAUUUCUGAUUAUCAUGAAAAACUUACUAUGAAUGAAGAACAACGUCAACAUAUAAUAUAAACAGUUGGUGAUUUCAGGAAAAAAUUCCCCAACGUGAGGAAGCAAACAGCUCUUAAGACAUGAACUUGAUUGAAUGCCGCUGAAGAUGUACCUAUAAAAUUUUCAACGGAAAGGAUUUUCUUGGGUAUACUUUUUACCCUGUUGCAAAGUUGAAACGCAUCGCAUGGAGGCCAAGCAUUAGUGUGCGCGUACUUUUUACCUCUUUGUAAAAGUCAAAGGGCAUGUAUAGUAUAAUUCAAUUUUUAGCAGGCGCGUAGUUUUUACCUUUUUGCGAAAACACAUGGAAAUGGCAUAAAUUUGGAAGCUUAUUUUGCCAGGCUCCCAGUGAAGCUCAAAGGUCCAGAGAUGGCCUCAUAAUAAAUUGUAGCGGGAAAUGCUCAUUCAACUUUCUAGAUCAUUGGAUUUCCUUUUGUUUCAGGGACCUACAAACUUCUCGGACGAUGAUGACGAUGGUGAUGGGAACCGUGUCAUAAAAAUCAAAGUACCAAAAAAAAAGAGACCGGUACCGCCGGUACAUGUUUUGCAAUACAAUGUAAGUCAUCUUCAUUUCUGGCGUUUAAAAAUGGAGUGUUUGAAUGGCAUAAAUUUGGAAGCUUUCUGCCAGGCUCCCAGUGAAGCUCGAAGGUCCAGAGAUGGCCUCA